This 31-nucleotide non-coding RNA is filed under the name Rattus norvegicus (Norway rat). Lineage: Eukaryota; Metazoa; Chordata; Mammalia; Rodentia; Muridae. The record is from RNAcentral.
UAUGACCUAGACAGUCAAACUGCUUCUCUUU